AACGUAGGAGGCAAGCGUUAUCCGGAGUUACUGGGCGUAAAGAGCGUGUAGGCGGGCUGGCAAGUCUGGUGUGAAAGCUCCCGGCUAAACUGGGAGAGUGCAUUGGAGACUGCCAAUCUAGAGGCUGUCAGAGGGUCGUGGAAUUCCGGGUGUAGUGGUGAAAUGCGUAGAGAUCCGGAGGAACACCAGUGGCGAAGGCGACGACCUGGGGCAGAACUGACGCUGAGACGCGAAAGCACGGGGAGCGAAC
Molecule: ribosomal RNA, 250 nt
Filed under: uncultured bacterium
Lineage: Bacteria
Description: partial 16S ribosomal RNA
Rfam family: Bacterial small subunit ribosomal RNA
Source: RNAcentral